UACAGAGGUCCCAAGCGUUGUUCGGAUUCAUUGGGCGUAAAGGGUGCGUAGGCGGCGCGGUAAGUCGGGUGUGAAAUCUCGGGGCUUAACUCCGAAACUGCAUUCGAUACUGCCGUGCUUGAGGACUGGAGAGGAGAAUGGAAUUCCCGGUGUAGCGGUGGAAUGCGCAGAUAUCAGGAAGAACACCCGUGGCGAAGGCGGCUCUCUGGAACGCAACUGACGCUGAGACGCGAAAGCGUGGGGAGCAAACAGG
Molecule: ribosomal RNA, 253 nt
Filed under: uncultured bacterium
Lineage: Bacteria
Description: partial 16S ribosomal RNA
Rfam family: Bacterial small subunit ribosomal RNA
Source: RNAcentral